GACGUAGGGCGCGAGCGUUGUCCGGAUUUAUUGGGCGUAAAGAGCUUGUAGGCGGUUUGUCGCGUCUGCUGUGAAAAUCCGGGGCUCAACCCCGGACUUGCAGUGGGUACGGGCAGACUAGAGUGUGGUAGGGGAGACUGGAAUUCCUGGUGUAGCGGUGGAAUGCGCAGAUAUCAGGAGGAACACCGAUGGCGAAGGCAGGUCUCUGGGCCACUACUGACGCUGAGAAGCGAAAGCAUGGGGAGCGAACAGG
Molecule: ribosomal RNA, 253 nt
Filed under: uncultured bacterium
Lineage: Bacteria
Description: partial 16S ribosomal RNA
Rfam family: Bacterial small subunit ribosomal RNA
Source: RNAcentral